GAUGAACGCUGGCGGCGUGCCUAAUACAUGCAAGUCGAGCGAACAGAUAAGGAUCUUGCUCCUUUGAAGUUAGCGGCGGACGGGGGAGUAACACGUGGGUAACCUACCUAUAAGACUGGGAUGACUUCGGGAAACCGGAGCUAAUACCGGAUAACAUUUAGAACCGCAUGGUUCUAAAGUGAAAGAUGGUUUUGCUAUCACUUAUAGAUGGACCCGCGCCGUAUUAUCUAGUUGGUAAGGUAACGGCUUACCAAGGCGACGAUACGUAUCCGACCUGAGAGGGUGAUCGGCCACACUGGAACUGAGACACGGUCCAGACUCCUACGGGAGGCAGCAGUAGGGAAUCUUCCGCAAUGGGCGAAAGCCUGACGGAGCAACGCCGCGUGAGUGAUGAAGGGUUUCGGCUCGUAAAACUCUGUUAUUAGGGAAGAACAAAUGUGUAAGUAACUGUGCACAUCUUGACGGUACCUAAUCAGAAAGCCACGGCUAACUACGUG
This 497-nucleotide ribosomal RNA is filed under the name uncultured bacterium. RNAcentral's name for it is "partial 16S ribosomal RNA". It matches the Rfam family "Bacterial small subunit ribosomal RNA", at positions 28 to 507 of the family's 1533-position model. The record is from RNAcentral.